RNAcentral lists this ribosomal RNA (410 nucleotides) under uncultured prokaryote. Its description in RNAcentral is "bacterial SSU rRNA". It matches the Rfam family "Bacterial small subunit ribosomal RNA", at positions 355 to 774 of the family's 1533-position model. The record is from RNAcentral.
UAACGAAUAUUGGGCAAUGGGCGCAAGCCUGACCCAGCGACGCCGCGUGAAGGAUGAAGUCCUUCGGGAUGUAAACUUCUUUUAGGGUGCUGAAAGUCCGCAAGGAUUGAUCUAACCCAGAAAAAGUCACGGCUAACUCUGUGCCAGCAGCCGCGGUAAUACAGAGGUGGCAAGCGUUGUUCGGAAUCACUGGGCUUAAAGCGUGUGUAGGCAGAUCAGUAAGUGUCUUGUGAAAUCCCUCGUCGCAACCGAGGAACUGCUGGGCAAACUACUAAUCUUGAGGUAGGCAGGGGUGCUUGGAACUCUUGGUGGAGCGGUGAAAUGCGUAGAUAUCAAGAGGAACGCCUGUGGUGAAAACGGAGCACUGGGCCUAUUCUGACGCUGAGACACGAAAGCGUGGGGAGUGAACG